This 253-nucleotide ribosomal RNA is filed under the name uncultured bacterium. Its description in RNAcentral is "partial 16S ribosomal RNA". It matches the Rfam family "Bacterial small subunit ribosomal RNA", at positions 524 to 776 of the family's 1533-position model. The record is from RNAcentral.
UACGGGGGGGGCAAGCGUUGUUCGGAAUUACUGGGCGUAAAGGGCUCGUAGGUGGCCAACUAAGUCAGACGUGAAAUCCCUCGGCUUAACCGGGGAACUGCGUCUGAUACUGGAUGGCUUGAGAUUGGGAGAGGGAUGCGGAAUUCCAGGUGUAGCGGUGAAAUGCGUAGAUAUCAGGAGGAACACCGAUGGCGAAGGCAGGUCUCUGGGCAUUAACUGACGCUGAGGAGCGAAAGCAUGGGGAGCGAACAGG